Molecule: long non-coding RNA, 464 nt
Organism: Dromaius novaehollandiae (emu)
Lineage: Eukaryota; Metazoa; Chordata; Aves; Casuariiformes; Dromaiidae
Exons: 3
Source: RefSeq, a predicted model, not a curated record
AGGGCAGCACUGCAGUAAUGGUUUUAUCUUGGCAUAAGAUCUUGAAUACUGAAUUACAUUGCAAAAGGAACAGUGGUUGUAGCAUAGCAACUCGGGAGAGAAAUGAAAAUCCAUAAUGGUUUUCUCCUCCCAUGCAAUCAGGAGUGGAAAUAAGCUUUUUGGCAAUCGGACAAGACCACACACGGAUCCCGAGCUUACAGUCAGUACUCCUACAAGGAGUCAGAAAUGGAGACUAAGACUUGAGAAAAUUAGGAGGCUCUGGCACACUGCAUGGGGAGCACGCUGCAGGGCAGCUCCAGGCGGGCAGACAUCUCCGUCACCGAAACGGCCGUCCCGGAUUAGCUCUGCAAACAGCUCUGACAAGCGCUUGCACUUGCGUCAAGUUAUUUUAAAGGUUCUCAUCUACGCUUAUCUAACUGGAUGAGGUUUAACUACUUGUAAGCCAAGCCUGGAUGUUGUGGCUG